UGAAAUGAAGAAACGAAUAUAUAUAUUUUUUUGAUAAUAAAGCAUAUUUCAUUAAAGGAUUAAUGGAAAUCGUUCAGCACAAUUGAUAUACAUUACUGCUCUGAUGGCAGAUAAACAUGCACUAAAAUUAUAGAUCUAUAAUUUAACAAAUACAUAAGAUUUGAGAAAUUAAGGACAGAUCUAAAUAGUACCAUAAAUUUGAAAAACAUUUCAUCAUAGAAUAAGUCGCUGCAGCUCUCUUUGUGCAUGCUGUAAUCGUCAGAUCUGCUAAUCAACAGUUGUAAGAUCCAAUAAGAAUGAUGAGAUCUGUCGAGAUAGAUCCAAAUCUGAAAUAUUCCCUCAGAUCUGCUAUCCAACUGGUUCAAGCUCAAAACUGAAAGUGAGAUCUGAUGAGAAGACUGAAGAAAUUUUAGAUCUAACAUAUAGAUCUAAAAAAACUCCAAGAUCUGAGAAAAUAAAGAACAAAAAACUAAAAAAAACUCUCACUAAGAUAGUUUAGGAGAGACGAAAACUCUCAAUAGGAUACCCUAGGAGAGAAGAAAACUCUCACUAGAAUACCCUAGGAGAGACUUUAUUGAAUGGAAGGAAGAACAAAGGACAAAGGAAGAGGAAGGGAGACCUUGGCUCAAGGCCAAAAUCUCCCUCUAUGGAGGAGGAAGAGUAGAGGAGGAAACCUAGAGAGAAGGAAGAGAAUGGUUGCUGCUUCAGAUACGUAAAAUGAAGAAACGAAUAUUAGAUGCUAGAAUAAUUGUAAACGUUAUGAAAUCAAAUGACG
RNAcentral lists this long non-coding RNA (775 nucleotides) under Coffea arabica (coffee). RNAcentral describes it as "long non-coding RNA (CARA_LNC004743)". Lineage: Eukaryota; Viridiplantae; Streptophyta; Magnoliopsida; Gentianales; Rubiaceae. The record is from RNAcentral.